Molecule: non-coding RNA, 3941 nt
Organism: Candidatus Blackburnbacteria bacterium
Lineage: Bacteria; Candidatus Blackburniibacteriota
Source: Rfam
UUUUUGUCCAAAGAACGCAGACAGUGGAUGCCUUGGCGCAAGUUGCCGAAGAAGGACGUAGUUGGCGGCGAUACUCGUCGGGUAGGAGCCAAUAUCCUAUGAUCCGACGGUUUCCGAAUGGGGAAACCCGUCCCGCUUCAUCGCGGGAUACUCUCAUCCCAAGUUUUUGAAUUUAUUCAAAUUAUUAAGAUGUGAGAGGAUACCUGGGGAACUGAAACAUCUAAGUACCCAGAGGAACAGAUACCGAAAGUGUAUUCCGUUAGUAGCGGUGAGCGAAAACGGAGGAGCCCAAAUCCGCCCGCAAGGGUGAGAGGUUGUAGGACCCGCCACAACAGACAUGUGUGGUUAGUAGAAUAGCUUGGAAUAGCAGACCAGAGAGAGUGAAAGUCUCGUAUACGAAAACUAGACAUGCUGGGUGGGUAUCCUGAGUACCACGGGACACGAGAAAUCUUGUGGGAAUCUACCCCGACCACGGGGUAAGGCUAAAUACAAUUUGCGACCGAUAGUGAACUAGUACCGCGAGGGAAAGGUGAAAAGAUGAGCGGAACGCUCAGUGAAAUAGAACCUGAAACUGUUUGCGAACAAACCGAUAGAGUCCCGCCUCGGCGGGAUGAUAUCGUGCCUAUUGAAGAAUGAACCGGCGAGUUGUCGUGUAGUGUUUUCUUAACCCACUUUGUGGGGGAGGAGCAGUGAAAGCGAGGAUGAAUAGUCCGACUUACAAUACUAUGCGGCAGACCCGAAACCAGGUGAUCUAACCAUGAGCAGGGUGAAUCCGCCAGAAAUGGCGAGAGGAGGCCCGAACCGGUGUAUGUUGCAAUAUGCUCGGAUGACUUGUGGUUAGCGGUAAAAUGCCAAACGAACCUGGAGAUAGCUGGUUCUCCCCGAAAGGUCUAUAGGGACCGCCCUUUGAGGAAAUGCAGUUGGGGUAGAGCACUGAAUGGGGCAUCAAGGGAAACUGAGAUGUCUCAAUCAAACUCCCGAAUACAACUGUAGAACACCAAAGGAGACAGUCAUACGGGGCUAAGCUCGUGUGGCUAAAGGGAAACAACCCAGACUCUCAGUUAAGGCCUCUAAAUUUACCUUAAGUUUGUAAGGAAGUUACUCCUCCCCCGACACCCAGGAGGUUGGCUUAGAAGCAGCCAUCCUUUAAAGAUAGCGUAACAGCUCACUGGCCGAUGGAGGGUAGCGCCGAAGAUUUAUCGAGGAUUAAAGGUAAUGCCGAAACUAGAGAUGCGAUUUUAAUUUAUUAAAAUCGCGUGGUAGGGGAGCGUGCUGAGUGCUUUGAAGCUUUGAUGUAAAUUGGAGUGGAGCGCUCAGUAGUGAGAAUGCCGGUAUGAGUAGCGAGAAGUCCAGUGAGAAUCUGGACCGCCGUAUGCCUAAGGUUUCCGUCGCAACGUUCGUCGGCGACGGGUUAGUCGGCUCCUAAGGCGAGGCCAUAAUUGGCGUAGUCGAUGGAAGAGGCGUUAAUAUUCGUCUACUUGUUUUGUAUCGUUAUAAAUUGGGGAUUGACCGAGUUGGAGAUUUCGAGCCCAUUAUUAGAAUUUGGGUAUAAAUCGCAAAAUAGUUUUGACUGGAAAGUCCGUUGAAACGUUUAAUUGAACGAUUAUGUAAAGUGUUCCGAAAGGAAUGCAAUUCGAACGUCUUCAGCUUGCAAGAAAAGGUCCGCAAUGAGAGACAAAGCAAGCCGUACCAACAACCGACACAGGUGGGCUGGUAGAGUAUACUAAGGCGAGCGAGAGAAGGUAGGUUAAGGAACUCGGCAAUAAAGCUGGACGUAAGUUCGCAAGAUGUCCUCCCCGCCAUUAGGCGGGGCGCAGCUAACGAUUGUCAACCGACUGUUUAUCAAAAACACAGGUCCCUGCAAAAGCGAAAGCUAAGGUAUAGGGGCUGACGCCUGCCCAGUGCUGGUAAGUCAACCGGAGGGGUGAAUCGCCGCAAGGCGGCUUGCUCUGAAGCGAAGCUCCAGUAAACGGCAGCAGUAACUAUAAACCGAAAGGUCGUUGUAGUUCUAAAACCUGGCUAUAUGCUGGAAUAUCUGAGUAUCUUGAGCUAGUUGACUUUGGGUUUAAUUCGGGUAAUACUGAGUUAUGCUUCAAUCGACUGACAAUGCUUCAAGUGCAGACAAUCAGCAGGAAAGGCUAGAAAUCGGAUGGGUAGUUGGUUUUAUAGAUGGGGAGGGCUGUUUUUCAGUUAGUCUCCACAAGAACCCAACAACCCAAAUUGGUUGGCAGAUAAUGCCAGAGUUUGUGGCAACUCAAGGAGAAAAGAGUUUAGAUGCUCUUAGGAAAUUGGAAACUUUCUUCAGUUGUGGUCGAAUAUUUGUAAAUCGCAGAUAUGAUAACCACAAUGAGAAUCUCUAUAGAUUCUGUGUUAGAUCCUUUAAGGAUCUUGAAGAGAAAGUUGUACCGUUUUUUAAGCAACAUCCACUUCAAACUGCAAAGAGGCGAGAUUUUGAGAUUUUUUCUCAGAUAAUUGUCUUGAUGAAAGAGAAGAAGCACUUAAAUCCCGAGGGUAUAAGAGAAAUAAUUUCUCUUGCUACAAACAUGAAUACCAAAAAAAGAAAAAGGUUUCUAGAAUCCUCAGAGACUAUACGCCGGGUCCCGUAAAAAGCGGGAAUGAUAUAGUCCGACCCUUGUGGCGACACAAGGAACAUGGCAGAAAUGGUCCAUGUCCUCCCUAUUUGGGGAGAGCAACAAAGUGAACUGUUCUACGGUGGAAUCAAGCUGCUGUAGUAAAAUUUGGCUAUAUGCUGGAAUAACUCGAGAAUCUGACAGUAGUCGCCUCAGUCGACUGACAAUCUGUUCAGUGGAGUCAAUCAGCAGGAAAGGUCCCGCCUCGGCGGGGAAUCCUCAGAGACUAUACGCCAAACUCCAUUUUGGAGAAGAUAUAGUCCGAACUUUGUGGCGACACAAAGAGCUUACUGAAGCAUGUAAGCCCCACCUGGGUAACAAAAUGUUAAUCGAAAGAUUAAACUUGAGCGAAGUUCCUUGUCGGGUAAGUUCCGACCCGCACGAAAGGCGUAACGAGUUGACAGCUGUCUUAACCUAUUACUCGGCGAAAUUGCAGUGGCCGUGAAGAUGCGGCCUACUUGCACCAGGACAAAAAGACCCCGUGGAGCUUUACUGUAGCUUGGCACUGAUUUGGAUUUGCCAAUUGUUUAGUGUAGGAGGGACUGCGGCGUAAAAAACCGUAGGCCGAUGAAACACCUCUCUUUGACAAUUCUAAAUCUCACCCAUAAGCCCUGGAAACGGGUUUGGGAACACUGCUUAGCGGACAGUUUCACUGGGGCGGUGUCCUGCUAAAGAGUAACGCAGGAGCACAAAGGUCAGCUUAGCACGGAUGGAAAUCGUGCUGGACGUGUAAGGGCACAAGCUGGCUUGACUGUGAGGCUGACGGGCCGAACAGGUACGAAAGUAGGUCCUAGUGAUCCUCGAUACCUUCGUGGGAGGGUACGAGCUUAACGGAUAAAAGCUACCCCGGGGAUAACAGAGUAGUCGCGCCCGAGAGUCCAUAUCGACGGCGCGGUUCGCUACCUCGAUGUCGGCUCAACGCAUCCUGGGGGAGGAGCAUCUCCCAAGGGUUGGUCUGUUCGCCCAUUAAAGCGUUACGCGAGCUGGGUUCAGAACGUCGUGAGACAGUUCGGACUCUAUCCGGUGCAAGCGAGGGAUUUUUGAGGGGAGUUGACCUCAGUACGAGAGGACCAGGUUGAAGGAACCCCUAGUGUACCAGUUGUUACGUCAGUAGCAUCGCUGGGUAGCUACGUUCCUACGGGAUAACCGCUGAAAGCAUCUAAGCGGGAAGCCCACCCCAAGAUGAGAAAUCCACAAACUUGUGCUAUGCACAAGUAGACCCGUUGGAGAAUACAACGUUGAUAGGCAAGUGGUGUAAGGCCCGAGAGGGCUUCAGCCUACUUGUACUAAUUGGUCGAAGGUACAAAAAAC